This 166-nucleotide non-coding RNA is filed under the name uncultured Ruminococcus sp. The record is from RNAcentral. Lineage: Bacteria; Bacillati; Bacillota; Clostridia; Eubacteriales; Oscillospiraceae.
UGUACAAAGGUGUCUGUUUUAACAGAAGAAUAGGGAAGCUGAGUGAAAAUCUCACACGGUCACGCCGCUGUAAUGGAUGAGCUGUAUCUGUAUAUGUCACUGGGAUUAUCUCCUGGGAAGGCCGGGUACAGUGCCAAAGCCUGAGUCAGAAGACCUGCCUUGUACA